Long non-coding RNA from Musa acuminata AAA Group (dessert banana), 524 nucleotides. RefSeq lists it as uncharacterized. The transcript has 2 exons. NCBI's taxonomy places the organism in Eukaryota, Viridiplantae, Streptophyta, Magnoliopsida, Zingiberales, Musaceae. The record is from RefSeq and is a predicted model, not a curated record.
CAUUCCCUCUCAUUGAUUGAUGAAUUCACUUUGGACAAGAAAGCUGUAUCAUUUCUUUGUUGUUUGAUGGAUCUAACUAUGUUCUGCAAUGUUGUUGAUCUGAUUGAUUGCUUGAGGACCACUAGAUGCAACCGGAAAAAAAAUAGGAGUGGUCUCUGGGAAGGCCAUUUUUGGGCCACCUCUCGAGGAGUACUGGACAAAGAAGUUGCAGGAAGAGGCAGCCAAGAAGGGUGAUGCCAGCACCAGUUAGCAGCAAGCAAGUAAUUAACACUUGAGUAACUAAACUGGUUGAAGGCACGGAAGACUUUGGGCUUAAAACUGCAGCAAUUGAGUUGCUAUGUUGUUAUUUGUGCCCAAUACAGUUUUAUAUGGAAUUAUGUACGAGGGAUUGUAGGCGAAGAACUAAUUAACACAUCCACAGAUACAUUGCAUCAUUUGGAGAGAAGUAAUAAAUGAAUUUGAGUCUAUGUAAUGACGAUGAAAGCCAAGCACGAUUAGUCAGUUACCUGUACAAAUUUUGCUCA